RNAcentral lists this ribosomal RNA (301 nucleotides) under uncultured bacterium. RNAcentral describes it as "partial 16S ribosomal RNA". It matches the Rfam family "Bacterial small subunit ribosomal RNA", at positions 509 to 809 of the family's 1533-position model. The record is from RNAcentral.
CAGCCGCCGCGGGAAUACGAAGGGUGCAAGCGUUAAUCGGAAUUACUGGGCGUAAAGCGUGCGUAGGCGGUGAGUUAAGUCUGCUGUGAAAUCCCCGGGCUCAACCUGGGAAUGGCAGUGGAUACUGGCUCGCUAGAGUGUGUCAGAGGAUGGUGGAAUUCCCGGUGUAGCGGUGAAAUGCGUAGAGAUCGGGAGGAACAUCAGUGGCGAAGGCGGCCAUCUGGGACAACACUGACGCUGAGGCACGAAAGCGUGGGGAGCAAACAGGAUUAGAUACCCCAGUAGUCCCUGUCUCUUAUAU